ACGGUCACGUUACAAAAUUAGCUCUUUAAUUAUUUUUAUAAUUAUUUUCCUUCGCUCUCCCAUUUAAAUUCUCUAAUUCCUCGUAUAGGACCACUGACGUGACGUCAUACCUCGGUGAUGGAACAUACUCCACCUAUCGAGAAUUAUUUCGCGUUCGGUGAGUUUGACGUCGUACUCUUGGAAGGAGAGACGAAUGUUCAUCACUUGACCUGUGGCUGUAGGUGAAGUUGGUUGCUACCAUAGAAUAUUAGAAUGGCGGUUGGUUUUUUAUUUUAUAACAUCAGUGAAAAGAAAAAAAUUACCACAAAUGGUUUUCUACAGUAGGGUGGCAUGUGGGUAGAACAACCCCUCUUGGAAUCGGAAUAGAAAUCACCGCCAUUUUGGAGUAACCACAUGGUGAACUCAUAGCCCUUUGACACCUAGGGAAACCACUACAGCCACAGUCAAGUCAUCAUGGGAAUACGUCUUUUUGGGAACAAGCUAUGGGAGCGUUCCAGCUCAAUUUUCGUCUUGGCACCUGGGCCUACAUGAGUCAUGGGGUCGCACCAUCCUGGUGCAUCAUUUUCUAGGAUGCAACCGCAACCUCGUUUGGGAACAUUUAGUGAGGUGUUUUAGUAACUAUUGGUUUUUUUUAUAUUUCAGACUAUCUGUUAAAUACACUAUGUUUUUUUUCCAGAUUUAGGUUACCUCUGGUUUUUUUUAAUAUGACAUAUUUGUAUAUUAGAUUAUUUGGUUCCCAAACUUUGUAUCUACGGUAACUUCUUGUGCACAGGAAUAAGCCUAGAGAAAAUUAGGUUUUUAAUACUUUACUAUUGCUUUGAUAUUGGUUUAUGUAAUUCGGGUAAAUUUAUUUUUUAAUAUUACUAGCUUGUUUCCCAAAUAAUUUACUGUUAUUCGCUUUAUUCCAUUUGUUCGGUUAAUUUAGGUCAUCGUCGGUAUUUAUCUCAACUUCAUUUCUACUUUAGUCAAUUGUAUAUUUAACUUUAUUUAUUCAUUAUUGUAUUUUCCCUUAGUGAGGCUUGGGCCUAUUUAUUUGUAGUAUUUUCAUCUUUGUCAGUUUCCUUUAGUUGUACGUAGCAGGCGUACUAUAACCAUUUGGUAGAAGACUUAUGUAAUUUUGUACACUAUAUGUAAGUAAGAGGUACUAAUACCUGUAAUUUUGUAACAGAUAACAUUAUUGUUGUUAUCUUAGAGAUGACUUUUUGUAUAACUUAUGUCAUUUUAGAGUCACAUGAUAUACACUUUGUGUAACUCAGAGAUUGUCAAAAAUCUAGUAGUUAUUUUUAAUAAAUAUGUAUUUAUUUUGUA
Molecule: long non-coding RNA, 1308 nt
Filed under: Diabrotica virgifera virgifera (western corn rootworm)
Lineage: Eukaryota; Metazoa; Arthropoda; Insecta; Coleoptera; Chrysomelidae
Description: uncharacterized LOC126885897
Source: RNAcentral